This 2917-nucleotide ribosomal RNA is filed under the name Pseudomonas syringae. RNAcentral's name for it is "23S ribosomal RNA". It matches the Rfam family "Bacterial large subunit ribosomal RNA". The record is from RNAcentral. Lineage: Bacteria; Pseudomonadati; Pseudomonadota; Gammaproteobacteria; Pseudomonadales; Pseudomonadaceae. RNAcentral also lists the same sequence under 2 other names.
GUUAUAUGGUCAAGUGAAGAAGCGCAUACGGUGGAUGCCUUGGCAGUCAGAGGCGAUGAAAGACGUGGUAGCCUGCGAAAAGCUUCGGGGAGUCGGCAAACAGACUGUGAUCCGGAGGUAUCUGAAUGGGGGAACCCAGCCAUCAUAAGAUGGUUAUCUUGUACUGAAUACAUAGGUGCAAGAGGCGAACCAGGGGAACUGAAACAUCUAAGUACCCUGAGGAAAAGAAAUCAACCGAGAUUCCCUUAGUAGUGGCGAGCGAACGGGGACCAGCCCUUAAGUUGUAUUGAGAUUAGCGGAACGUUCUGGAAAGGACGGCCAUAGUGGGUGAUAGCCCUGUACGCGAAAAUCCCUUUGCAAUGAAAUCGAGUAGGACGGGGCACGAGAAACCUUGUCUGAAUAUGGGGGGACCAUCCUCCAAGGCUAAAUACUACUGACUGACCGAUAGUGAACCAGUACCGUGAGGGAAAGGCGAAAAGAACCGCGGAGAGCGGAGUGAAAUAGAUCCUGAAACCGUAUGCGUACAAGCAGUGGGAGCCCACUUUGUUGGGUGACUGCGUACCUUUUGUAUAAUGGGUCAGCGACUUAUUUUCAGUGGCGAGCUUAACCGAAUAGGGGAGGCGUAGCGAAAGCGAGUCUUAAUAGGGCGUCUAGUCGCUGGGAAUAGACCCGAAACCGGGCGAUCUAUCCAUGGGCAGGUUGAAGGUUGGGUAACACUAACUGGAGGACCGAACCGACUACCGUUGAAAAGUUAGCGGAUGACCUGUGGAUCGGAGUGAAAGGCUAAUCAAGCUCGGAGAUAGCUGGUUCUCCUCGAAAGCUAUUUAGGUAGCGCCUCAUGUAUCACUGUAGGGGGUAGAGCACUGUUUCGGCUAGGGGGUCAUCCCGACUUACCAAACCGAUGCAAACUCCGAAUACCUACAAGUGCCGAGCAUGGGAGACACACGGCGGGUGCUAACGUCCGUCGUGAAAAGGGAAACAACCCAGACCGUCAGCUAAGGUCCCAAAGUCAUGGUUAAGUGGGAAACGAUGUGGGAAGGCUUAGACAGCUAGGAGGUUGGCUUAGAAGCAGCCACCCUUUAAAGAAAGCGUAAUAGCUCACUAGUCGAGUCGGCCUGCGCGGAAGAUGUAACGGGGCUCAAACCAUGCACCGAAGCUACGGGUAUCAUCUUUUGAUGAUGCGGUAGAGGAGCGUUCUGUAAGCCUGUGAAGGUGAGUUGAGAAGCUUGCUGGAGGUAUCAGAAGUGCGAAUGCUGACAUGAGUAACGACAAUGGGUGUGAAAAACACCCACGCCGAAAGACCAAGGUUUCCUGCGCAACGUUAAUCGACGCAGGGUUAGUCGGUCCCUAAGGCGAGGCUGAAAAGCGUAGUCGAUGGAAAACAGGUUAAUAUUCCUGUACUUCUGGUUAUUGCGAUGGAGGGACGGAGAAGGCUAGGCCAGCCUGGCGUUGGUUGUCCAGGUUUAAGGUGGUAGGCUGAGAUCUUAGGUAAAUCCGGGAUCUUAAGGCCGAGAGCUGAUGACGAGUGUUCUUUAGAACACGAAGUGGUUGAUGCCAUGCUUCCAAGAAAAGCUUCUAAGCUUCAGGUAACCAGGAACCGUACCCCAAACCGACACAGGUGGUUGGGUAGAGAAUACCAAGGCGCUUGAGAGAACUCGGGUGAAGGAACUAGGCAAAAUGGCACCGUAACUUCGGGAGAAGGUGCGCCGGUGAGGGUGAAGCAUUUACUGCGUAAGCUCAUGCCGGUCGAAGAUACCAGGCCGCUGCGACUGUUUAUUAAAAACACAGCACUCUGCAAACACGAAAGUGGACGUAUAGGGUGUGACGCCUGCCCGGUGCCGGAAGGUUAAUUGAUGGGGUUAGCGCAAGCGAAGCUCUUGAUCGAAGCCCCGGUAAACGGCGGCCGUAACUAUAACGGUCCUAAGGUAGCGAAAUUCCUUGUCGGGUAAGUUCCGACCUGCACGAAUGGCGUAACGAUGGCGGCGCUGUCUCCACCCGAGACUCAGUGAAAUUGAAAUCGCUGUGAAGAUGCAGUGUAUCCGCGGCUAGACGGAAAGACCCCGUGAACCUUUACUAUAGCUUUGCACUGGACUUUGAAUUUGCUUGUGUAGGAUAGGUGGGAGGCUUUGAAGCGUGGACGCCAGUCUGCGUGGAGCCAACCUUGAAAUACCACCCUGGCAACUUUGAGGUUCUAACUCAGGUCCGUUAUCCGGAUCGAGGACAGUGUAUGGUGGGUAGUUUGACUGGGGCGGUCUCCUCCUAAAGAGUAACGGAGGAGUACGAAGGUGCGCUCAGACCGGUCGGAAAUCGGUCGUAGAGUAUAAAGGCAAAAGCGCGCUUGACUGCGAGACAGACACGUCGAGCAGGUACGAAAGUAGGUCUUAGUGAUCCGGUGGUUCUGUAUGGAAGGGCCAUCGCUCAACGGAUAAAAGGUACUCCGGGGAUAACAGGCUGAUACCGCCCAAGAGUUCAUAUCGACGGCGGUGUUUGGCACCUCGAUGUCGGCUCAUCACAUCCUGGGGCUGAAGCCGGUCCCAAGGGUAUGGCUGUUCGCCAUUUAAAGUGGUACGCGAGCUGGGUUUAGAACGUCGUGAGACAGUUCGGUCCCUAUCUGCCGUGGACGUUUGAGAUUUGAGAGGGGCUGCUCCUAGUACGAGAGGACCGGAGUGGACGAACCUCUGGUGUUCCGGUUGUCACGCCAGUGGCAUUGCCGGGUAGCUAUGUUCGGAAAAGAUAACCGCUGAAAGCAUCUAAGCGGGAAACUUGCCUCAAGAUGAGAUCUCACUGGAACCUUGAGUUCCCUAAAGGGCCGUCGAAGACUACGACGUUGAUAGGUUGGGUGUGUAAGCGCUGUGAGGCGUUGAGCUAACCAAUACUAAUUGCCCGUGAGGCUUGACCAUAUAACACCCAAGCAAUU